Tinamus guttatus (white-throated tinamou) is the source of this 187-nucleotide non-coding RNA. The record is from RefSeq and is a predicted model, not a curated record. Lineage: Eukaryota; Metazoa; Chordata; Aves; Tinamiformes; Tinamidae.
AGAAUAGAUCCGCUCUUAGGAAAUGGAAGCCAGGAGUUAAUUUUAUGGGUAUAUGAUCCCGAAACUGCAGAUGCUUCUGAACUGAACCGCACAGCAAUUAGACCUUCACAAAGUUCUCAGAAACUCAGCAAGCUGUUCUGGAAUUUGGGACAGGAACCUGUUGUUCAUACCCAUUUGAGAAAGAACG